GACGAACGCUGGCGGCGUGCUUAACACAUGCAAGUCGAACGAAGAGCGAUGGAAGCUUGCUUCUAUCAAUCUUAGUGGCGAACGGGUGAGUAACGCGUAAUCAACCUGCCCUUCAGAGGGGGACAACAGUUGGAAACGACUGCUAAUACCGCAUACGAUCUAAUCUCGGCAUCGAGGAUAGAUGAAAGGUGGCCUCUACAUGUAAGCUCUCACUGAAGGAGGGGAUUGCGUCUGAUUAGCUAGUUGGAGGGGUAACGUCCCACCAAGGCGAUGAUCAGUAGCCGGUCUUAGAGGAUGAACGGCCACAUUGGGACUGAGACACGGCCCAGACUCCUACGGGAGGCAGCAGUGGGGAAUCUUCCGCAAUGGACGAGAGUCUGACGGAGCAACGCCGCGUGAGUGAUGACGGCCUUCGGGUUGUAAAGCUCUGUUAAUCGGGACGAAAGGCCUUCUUGCGAAUAGUGAGAAGGAUUGACGGUACCGGAAUAGAAAGCCACGGCUAACUACGUG
This 510-nucleotide ribosomal RNA is filed under the name uncultured bacterium. Its description in RNAcentral is "partial 16S ribosomal RNA". It matches the Rfam family "Bacterial small subunit ribosomal RNA", at positions 28 to 507 of the family's 1533-position model. The record is from RNAcentral.